This 253-nucleotide ribosomal RNA is filed under the name uncultured bacterium. RNAcentral's name for it is "partial 16S ribosomal RNA". It matches the Rfam family "Bacterial small subunit ribosomal RNA", at positions 524 to 776 of the family's 1533-position model. The record is from RNAcentral.
UACGUAGGGCGCAAGCGUUAUCCGGAAUUACUGGGCGUAAAGCGUGCGCAGGCGGCUUUGCAAGACAGAUGUGAAAUCCCCGGGCUCAACCUGGGAACUGCAUUUGUGACUGCAUGGCUGGAGUGCGGCAGAGGGGGAUGGAAUUCCGCGUGUAGCAGUGAAAUGCGUAGAUAUGCGGAGGAACACCGAUGGCGAAGGCAAUCCCCUGGGCCUGCACUGACGCUCAUGCACGAAAGCGUGGGGAGCAAACAGG